GACAACUUUUGACGGUGGAUCUCUUGGCUCACGUAUCGAUGAAGAACGCAGCCGCUGCGAUAUGUAGUGUGAAUUGCAGAAUUCAGUGAAUCAUUGAAUCUUUGAACGCAAAUGGCGCUCUUGGGUUCUCCCAGGAGCAUGUCUGUCUGAGUGUCGGAUUUUAUCGAA
Molecule: ribosomal RNA, 168 nt
Filed under: Porites compressa
Lineage: Eukaryota; Metazoa; Cnidaria; Anthozoa; Scleractinia; Poritidae
Description: 5.8S ribosomal RNA
Rfam family: 5.8S ribosomal RNA
About the family: 5.8S ribosomal RNA (5.8S rRNA) is a component of the large subunit of the eukaryotic ribosome.
Source: RNAcentral